CUAUACUGCAAGUCGAGCGGACAGAAGGGAGCUUGCUCCCGGAUGUUAGCGGCGGACGGGUGAGUAACACGUGGGUAACCUGCCUGUAAGACUGGGAUAACUCCGGGAAACCGGAGCUAAUACCGGAUAGUUCCUUGAACCGCAUGGUUCAAGGAUGAAAGACGGUUUCGGCUGUCACUUACAGAUGGACCCGCGGCGCAUUAGCUAGUUGGUGGGGUAAUGGCUCACCAAGGCGACGAUGCGUAGCCGACCUGAGAGGGUGAUCGGCCACACUGGGACUGAGACACGGCCCAGACUCCUACGGGAGGCAGCAGUAGGGAAUCUUCCGCAAUGGACGAAAGUCUGACGGAGCAACGCCGCGUGAGUGAUGAAGGUUUUCGGAUCGUAAAGCUCUGUUGUUAGGGAAGAACAAGUGCGAGAGUAACUGCUCGCACCUUGACGGUACCUAACCAGAAAGCCACGGCUAACUACGUGCCAGCAGCCGCGGUAAUACGUAGGUGGCAAGCGUUGUCCGGAAUUAUUGGGCGUAAAGGGCUCGCAGGCGGUUUCUUAAGUCUGAUGUGAAAGCCCCCGGCUCAACCGGGGAGGGUCAUUGGAAACUGGGAAACUUGAGUGCAGAAGAGGAGAGUGGAAUUCCACGUGUAGCGGUGAAAUGCGUAGAGAUGUGGAGGAACACCAGUGGCGAAGGCGACUCUCUGGUCUGUAACUGACGCUGAGGAGCGAAAGCGUGGGGAGCGAACAGGAUUAGAUACCCUGGUAGUCCACGCCGUAAACGAUGAGUGCUAAGUGUUAGGGGGUUUCCGCCCCUUAGUGCUGCAGCUAACGCAUUAAGCACUCCGCCUGGGGAGUACGGUCGCAAGACUGAAACUCCAAGGAAUUGANNGGGAGCCCGCACAAGAGGAGGNAGCAUGUGGUGUAAUUCUAAAGGACCGCGAAGAACCUUACCCGGACGUUGACAUCCUCUNACUACCCUACCACAUAG
This 982-nucleotide ribosomal RNA is filed under the name Bacillus zhangzhouensis. RNAcentral's name for it is "bacterial SSU rRNA". It matches the Rfam family "Bacterial small subunit ribosomal RNA", at positions 49 to 1009 of the family's 1533-position model. The record is from RNAcentral. Lineage: Bacteria; Bacillati; Bacillota; Bacilli; Caryophanales; Bacillaceae.